This 914-nucleotide ribosomal RNA is filed under the name uncultured Nitrososphaerota archaeon. RNAcentral describes it as "bacterial SSU rRNA". It matches the Rfam family "Archaeal small subunit ribosomal RNA", at positions 1 to 922 of the family's 1478-position model. The record is from RNAcentral. Lineage: Archaea; Thermoproteati; Nitrososphaerota.
UUCCGGUUGAUCCUGCCAGACCUGACUGCUAUCGGAUUGAUACUAAGCCAUGCGAGUCAUUGUAGCAAUACAAGGCAGACGGCUCAGUAACGCGUAGUCAACCUACCCUAUGGACGGGAAUAACCUCGGGAAACUGAGAAUAAUGCCCGAUAGAACAUUAUGCCUGGAAUGGUUUAUGUUCCAAAUGAUUUAUCGCCGUAGGAUGGGACUGCGGCCUAUCAGUUUGUUGGUGAGGUAAUGGCCCACCAAGACUAUUACAAGUACGGGCUCUGAGAGGAGUGGCCCGGAGAUGGGUACUGAGACACGGACCCAGGCCCUAUGGGGCGCAGCAGGCGAGAAAACUUUGCAAUGUGCGAAAGCACGACAAGGUUAAUCCGAGUGGUUUCUGCUAAAGGAACCUUUUGACAGUCCUAGAAACACUGUUGAAUAAGGGGUGGGCAAGUUCUGGUGUCAGCCGCCGCGGUAAAACCAGCACCUCAAGUGGUCAGGAUGAUUAUUGGGCCUAAAGCAUCCGUAGCCGGCUCUGUAAGUUUUCGGUUAAAUCUAUACGCUCAACGUAUAGGCUGCCGGGAAUACUGCAGAGCUAGGGAGUGGGAGAGGUAGACGGUACUCGGUAGGAAGGGGUAAAAUCCUUUGAUCUAUUGAUGACCACCUGUGGCGAAGGCGGUCUACCAGAACACGUCCGACGGUGAGGGAUGAAAGCUGGGGGAGCAAACCGGAUUAGAUACCCGGGUAGUCCCAGCUGUAAACUAUGCAAACUCAGUGAUGCAUUGGCUUGUGGCCAAUGCAGUGCUGCAGGGAAGCCGUUAAGUUUGCCGCCUGGGAAGUACGUACGCAAGUAUGAAACUUAAAGGAAUUGGCGGGGGAGCACCACAAGGGGUGAAGCCUGCGGUUCAAUUGGAGUCAACGCCGGA